CCUCCUUCUGGGGAAAGCACAGCUGGGCAGAGGAGCCAGAGAAGGAAUCACUGGUCUAGAGCUGCUUCCUCCUGCGCUCCCAAGGCAGGACAUUAGAACCCAGGACCUCAGGCCCACCGGCAAGACAGGGUUUGAAGGUGGAGGGUGCAGCGUCUUUUUCUCUGAUCUGGAGGGUGAAAGGUGGCCGCUACCCCAGGUUUCUUCUCUACAGCUGAGUGCACCGAGGUUUCAGAACCGCCUGUCUCCCAUGGAAGGUUAACGAAAGCUCCAGGCACGUCCUGACCCGCUCAUACCCCCAACGAGAAGCAUCACUGGUUACAAUGGCAGCAGCAGUGUGAUAUCCCCCCACACCCUCUGCCACCCCAACAUCUGCAGGCUGCUGAGCAGUAUGGGGCUGGAGAAGACACAGGAGGGGCUGAGGCAAACUGGGACAGGGGCACUUCUCACUCCCCCACCGGCUCCCUACCAGCACAGCGCAGAUGCUUUGGUGCCCGGGACCCAGUGAAGAACCCCACUAUCAGGUAAUCCCCCCUCUCUGAGUUCAGAGGAGAGAAAUGCAGAUAAUCAACUCACCGCAUUGAUCCUCUGGAAUUUUUGUAAACCCCCUGCUCCCUCAAACUCACAUGCAGCAUUUCCUGACCCAGCAGAACGUGAGGUCUGGAAUGCGACUAGCCAACCAAUUCUCCCAAGAACCCUAGAUCCAAUGGGUUGGAUCUCACUGUCUGCCAGGCCACUCAACGCAAAAUACCAAAAGGGAGGUGGAUAGUACCCCCAGGAGCUGGCUGGGGUUCAGUGCCCUGCUGCCCGCUGGCCUAAGGGAUCAGGGUUCUCAGAUCAGUGCCCUGCCCCAACCCCCAGAGCAUCAACACCCAGAGCACAAGUUGGUGAGGACGGGGAGUGUCCUUGAAUAAAGUCAGAGUACUUGGAAUCUGAUUGUUCAAAGGAGAAAAACUGCAUCUCUUUAGGAUUUUCACUUCCCAAGGAGAAGUGCUGCAUCAGGAAACUUCCACACUGUGGCCAUCCACUCCCACAGUUUCAAAAAGUCCCUUUGAGUUUCUUCUGAUGCACGAGAUUGGAAGUUCUUGAAAGCAAGAGCCUCAUCUACCAUCUUCACAUUGCCUCCAGCACCCAGCAAAGAACGGUCUCAGGCACUCCUAAGAUCCCACUUAACGAAUUCACAGAUCAAUGGUCAGCCGCCGGAGCCAGCAGUGCAGAAAGAAGGGGAAUAGCCCGGGACCCUCAAGGCGAAGGAGGGUGGAAGAGGGUCCCUUAACUGGUUUCUUUCUCCACUCCUCUCCGUCCCCACUGGGAAAGGUGUUCGCCUCCAGCAGGCGAUGGUGGAGUGGGUUCUAGCCAGGAAUGCGCCCUGAAAUCAGACCUCUCGGCUUUCCUUAAAAAGCCCCUUUGUCCGGUCCACCCUGCUCCCCUCCCCCACCGCGCCCCUCCGCAUCCAGGCGGCCCGAGACUUUGCUCCUUUUGUUUGGCUGCUUUCUGGCUUCCCGGAACCUGGCCAGGGGAUCCACAGGCGUGGGGAAGGUCGAAGGAGAAGGGUUGAGGAGUCGGAAAUGUGCACUUUGGGUAGGAACUUGAAAUUCCCACCCCCUUUGUAAAUCACUCCGUUCCUGGUAGGGCCAGCUCUGCUCAGGCCACGGACCACGGGUUCAGGAGCUGGAGCCCCCCAGUUCACCCGCGCUGCGUCCCCCUAAGUUUUCCCCCUUACCUGUCCCAUGGAGCUCUGGCGCCGCCCGCCUGUCCCCGCGCCCCCCGUUCCUGCCUCGAAGCUUCAGGACCUGUUUGUCCAGGCCAUCUUCUCUCUCCCCGACCCUCCUCCCGGCCUUCCCUCCCGGGAGGUAUUUCAUUUAACUUCGGCAUUUGCAGCAUCCCAAAUGUUAAAGAUCCCAAGACAUCUGUCCCCUGGGGCAUACCAAGGCCCAGAGGAAAGAGGGGAAAGACGCAAGAAGGGAUUCGAGAUUCCGAUCCAAGAGUCGGGGCGGGACCCCAUGGCGGGGUGGUAAGAUGCCAGCGAGAAUGGGUACCCUUUGGGGACCCCGGCCCGGGGGGGCAGGACUGCCCCCUUCUCCCGCUUUGGGACGCCGGCGUGGCGGGACACCCCCGGCACUACCAGUUUCCUCCGCCCAGGCGGGAGGAGGCUCCUCUCUCCGGCCGAGGGCCGCCUUUCAUCCGCGCGCUCCGGCCUGGCCGGGGGCCGUUUCCAUUCCUGGAGACCCCGGGGUGAAAGAAAGAGCGGAGCCGGCAAGAGGGCGCCGCGCCCCUCCCCCGCAGGCCCCGUCCCCCUCCCCGCGAGUCCGCUUCCCCUUCGCUGGGCUCCGCGGUGCUGCCGAGCCACCGCGCGCUGGCGCAGCCGCAACCGCCUCCCCCUCCUCCGGCCCGAGCCCAGUCCUCCUCCUGGGCGCCGGCUGGCCGGGCUCCGCCGCGCAAGGAAAGGAGCCCACUCCCGGUGAGCGCCUCCUGCUGUUACCGCUAGCCUGGUGCCCUCCCUCCCUCCAUCCGUUCACUCACUCUCUCUCUCACUCACACGUCCCUGUUUUCAUUUGUGCGAGAAGUUUAUGGAGCACCUACGAGUGCCCAGCACGGUGGAUCAAAGUUCAAAUUCUUCCCUGGAUGAUUCCCCAACCUAGGCGAGUAAUCAAGUAGCAAUAGCAUCAAUGAAGCAAGGGCUGAAACUCAGAGCAGAGAGAGAGAGGCCGUGCGCGCGGCUGGGCCAGGCUGAGGGUCGCAAAGUCUGGCGGGAGAAGGCAUGCGCCCGGGGAACUGGCGGGAGAAUGCAAGAAGGACCUUGAGGCAGCUAUGACGGGAUAUACAAACGCAUAGUGGCAAAGAAGCACGGGGACCUAGGAGCUGCGCGGACCUUAGGGUGUCGGAUGAGGAGGGAGGAAAAGAAUGAACACAAAGACAAGGCUAAAGUGGCAGGCAGAGGUUCAUCAGGAAGCAGGGCAGCUCUGUCUGGUCGUCCACGUUUCCACCAUACUAAGAGGGAGGGCGCACCCGUGUUCCACCCACCAAGCUGUGUGCCCUGCCUAGAGGUGGUGGCUUUUUCUCAUUUGUACAUAAGGCACUAUAUGAGCUAAAUUGACUGAAGAGCCUCGUGGGCUAAGUAAGGAUUUAAGGUUUUUAUCCUGAAACUGAAGAGAAGCUAAUUGUAUUAGUCAAGGUUCUCUAGAGACACAGAAUCAAUAGGAUAUAUGUAUAUAAUACAUAUGAGAGAGAGAGAAAUGGAGAAAGAGAUUUAUUUUAAGGAAUUGUUUCAUUCUGUUGGAAAUGCCGUCGAGUCCAAAAUCUACAGGGUGGCCUGACGUGCUGGAGACCCAGAGAAGAUAGCAGUUCGAGUCCAGAGGCAGUCUGCUUGCAGAAUUCCUUCUUCAUCAGAGGCGGCCCAAGCAGACAUGAUCAUCUCCAUCCUUCAGAUGAAGAAAGUGAGGCUCCUGAGGCGGAGAGAUACCUCAGGACGGGCGGCCAGCUGGGACAGUGGGAGACCGGACCCAGGCUGACUUUAGCCCCAGCGCAUCAGCGGUUUCACAGCCCUUUGACAACUGCCCUUAAAAAAAAGGUUAUAGAAAAUUUCAAGAAUGAAGAGAGGGAGGAGAGAAAGAAUCUGCAAUUCCCUUACUUUGACACAAUCACUGCUAACAUUUAUUGAAUUCUCUACGCUUUCUUGUGUACCCUUUUCUCAAACAUACAUAAAAUGCAAUAAGCUUC
This is a long non-coding RNA of Felis catus (domestic cat), 3717 nucleotides long. RefSeq lists it as uncharacterized. Lineage: Eukaryota; Metazoa; Chordata; Mammalia; Carnivora; Felidae. The record is from RefSeq and is a predicted model, not a curated record. The transcript is spliced from 3 exons.